This 397-nucleotide ribosomal RNA is filed under the name Urashima pustuloides. Its description in RNAcentral is "partial 16S large subunit ribosomal RNA". It matches the Rfam family "Archaeal large subunit ribosomal RNA", at positions 2002 to 2666 of the family's 2987-position model. Lineage: Eukaryota; Metazoa; Arthropoda; Malacostraca; Decapoda; Leucosiidae. The record is from RNAcentral.
AAAGAGCUGCGGUAUUUUGACCGUACAAAGGUAGCAUAAUCAUUAGUUUUUUAAUUGAAAACUUGUAUGAAUGGUUGGACAAAACAAAAGCUGUCUUUAUUACAGAAACAGAAUUUAACUUUUAGGUGAAAAGGCCUAAAUAAACCAAAGGGACGAUAAGACCCUAUAAGCGUUUGGUUGGGGCGGCAUGAAUAAAAUUAUUAACUAUUCGUAAGUAAAACACAAAUAUGUGGAUAGAUCCUUAUUAGAGAAUAAAAGAAAAGUUACUUUAGGGAUAACAGCGUUAUUCUUUUUAAGAGCCCAUAUCGAAAAAAGAGAUUACGACCUCGAUGUUGAAUUAAAAAUUCUAUAUAGCGCAGUUGCUUUUUAAGAAGGUCUGUUCGACCUUUAAAUUUUU